Molecule: ribosomal RNA, 432 nt
Filed under: uncultured bacterium
Lineage: Bacteria
Description: partial 16S ribosomal RNA
Rfam family: Bacterial small subunit ribosomal RNA
Source: RNAcentral
AACGAACGCUGGCGGCAUGCCUAACACAUGCAAGUCGAACGAGACCUUCGGGUCUAGUGGCGCACGGGUGCGUAACGCGUGGGAACCUGCCCUUAGGUUCGGAAUAACUCCCCGAAAGGGGUGCUAAUACCGGAUAAUGUCUUCGGACCAAAGAUUUAUCGCCUUUGGAUGGGCCCGCGUUGGAUUAGCUAGUUGGUAGGGUAAAAGCCUACCAAGGCGACGAUCCAUAGCUGGUCUGAGAGGAUGGUCAGCCACACUGGGACUGGGACACGGCCCAAACUCCGGGGGAGGGGAGCAGGGGGGAUAAUGGGAGACGGGGGGGAGGCAGAAGCCCGGAGGGCCGGGGAGGGUUUGAGGGGGGUAGGGUUGGAAGCCUUUUUAUCCCGGGAUGGUAUGACGGUACCCGGGGAAUAAGGCCCGGGUAAAUUCGUG